GUGUUACUUCGGUAGCACACAUACUAAAAUUGGAACGAUACAGAGAAGAUUAGCAUGGCCCCUGCGCCUGCGCAAGGAUGACACACAAAUUCAUGAAGCGUUCCUCAUUUUC
Small nuclear RNA from Oreochromis aureus, 112 nucleotides. NCBI's taxonomy places the organism in Eukaryota, Metazoa, Chordata, Actinopteri, Cichliformes, Cichlidae. The record is from Ensembl.